This 68-nucleotide transfer RNA is filed under the name Marmota monax (woodchuck). Its description in RNAcentral is "tRNA.Glu". The record is from RNAcentral. Lineage: Eukaryota; Metazoa; Chordata; Mammalia; Rodentia; Sciuridae.
GGUUUGUAGCUCAGUGGUAGAAUGCUUACGUCUCAUGCAUGAGGCCCUGGGUUUGAUUCUCAGCACCA